This 497-nucleotide ribosomal RNA is filed under the name uncultured bacterium. RNAcentral describes it as "partial 16S ribosomal RNA". It matches the Rfam family "Bacterial small subunit ribosomal RNA", at positions 28 to 507 of the family's 1533-position model. The record is from RNAcentral.
GAUGAACGCUGGCGGCGUGCCUAAUACAUGCAAGUCGAGCGAACAGAUGAGGAGCUUGCUCCUCUGACGUUAGCGGCGGACGGGUGAGUAACACGUGGAUAACCUACCUAUAAGACUGGGAUAACUUCUGGAAACCGGAGCUAAUACCGGAUAAUAUAUUGAACCGCAUGGUUCAAUAGUGAAAGACGGUUUUGCUGUCACUUAUAGAUUGAUCCGCGCCGCAUUAGCUAGUUGGUAAGGUAACGGAUUACCAAGGCAAAGAUGGGUAGCGCACCUGAGCGGGUGAUGGGCCACACGGGAAGUGAGAGACGACCGAGACACCGACGCGGGGCAGCAGUAGGGACUCUUACGCAAUGGGCGAAAGCCGGACGGAGCAACGCCGCGUGAGUGAUGAAGGUGUUAGGAUCGUAAAACUAUGUUAUUAGGGAAGAACAAAUGUGUAAGUAACUAUGCACGUCUUGACGGUACCUAAUCAGAAAGCCACGGCUAACUACGUG